RNAcentral lists this ribosomal RNA (250 nucleotides) under uncultured prokaryote. RNAcentral describes it as "partial 16S ribosomal RNA". It matches the Rfam family "Bacterial small subunit ribosomal RNA", at positions 524 to 773 of the family's 1533-position model. The record is from RNAcentral.
AACGUAGGAGACGAGCGUUAUCCGGAUUUACUGGGCGUAAAGAGCGUGUAGGAGGCUUGGCAAGUUGGAUGUAAAAUCUCCCGGCUUAACUGGGAGGCGUCGUUCAAAACUGCCGAGCUUGAGUGCGGAAGAGGUAAUCGGAACUCCGGGAGUAGCGGUGAAAUGCGUAGAUAUCCGGAAGAACACCAGAGGCGAAAGCGGAUUACUGGUCCGUAACUGACACUGAGACGCGAAAGCCAGGGUAGCAAAC